CAUCCUCGUGCGUAAACCCUCGAUAGCUCAGUCACCCUCGAUAGCUCACCAUCGUCGCCCCCCCACUCACGCUCGCCAUUGACCUCUCACUCUCGGUCUCGCCAUUCACCCUCUCACUCUUGCCAUUGACCGCCUCACUACAAGCGGAAACCCUCUCACUCUCGCCAUUGAGAGUCAUCGCCUCCCACUCACGACUCACCUGCACUACUCUCCACAUUGACCGUCGUCAUCUCCUCUUCGCCAUCGCUUGCACUGAUCGUCGCUGUGCGGCCCUCACCAUCGUCGCUGUGCGCCCCUCACCAUCGUCGCUGCACCGCUCUCACCAUCAUCAUCUCCGUGCUUCUCAUCAUCGUCUUCGCUGUGCUCACAUCAUUGAAUAGUUUGAAUUGUUUCUUGGUUAGCCAGAAACAGAAAUGGUGUGAAGAAUGUAAAGAAUGAAAAGAAGACAAGGAGUAGAGAAGAAGUAGAAGAGGAAGAAGAAAGGUGAGCUGAA
This is a non-coding RNA of Arachis ipaensis, 493 nucleotides long. The record is from RefSeq and is a predicted model, not a curated record. NCBI's taxonomy places the organism in Eukaryota, Viridiplantae, Streptophyta, Magnoliopsida, Fabales, Fabaceae.